GAAAAUGUUUUGAAAUCGAGCGCAAAAUUCAAUCUCGAUUACGAACGAAAUCCAAUGACCCCCAACCUUCUCUUUUAGAAUCACUAUGAUUAUCAGAAGACAACCAUCUGGAUCAGGACCUUCCAUUAAUGGAGUUAAAGUUUCUCCAACUGGUCUUAAACUACCAGAUCUUGCAAUCAAUGGUUCUGGUUGUGUAACAUAUUGAUUUAAAUGAUGAUGGGUAUUUUUAUGAUUACUACUUCUUCUUCUUCUUCUAAAUGGUGAUGGACUUCUUCCUCUUGAUCUUGCUGGUGAUAAUGCUCUUACUACAUCUUCUUUCAAUGCUGAGAAAAACCCUUGUUUCUUUUCCAUUUCUUCUCAUCUAUCUUAAAAAAAACCCAAACUUCUAAUUAAAAAUCGAAAAAUUAAACAAAACCCAAACUUCAAAAACCCUUUAUUUGAACAAAGGUCAAGAAGAAGAUGAAGGAUAGAUUGAUUUCUUCAUCAAAAAAGAAUCUUUCUUGAAAGAAGAAGAAGAAGGUUUCUGAAGGAAAAUCAGAAGGAAACCAAAAGAAAUGAAAGAAAGAAUUGAUUUGAUUCAGAAUGAGAGAGAGAGAACAAAGGUGAGAGACCACUCACUGAAAAAGCCAACUGAACAGAGAGAGAGAGAGAGAGAGAGAGAGAGAGAGAAAUGCUGAGAGUUAGUUUUCAAGAGAGAGAGAGCAAAUGGUGUGAAGCCCAAAAUAUAAGCCCAAAUUAAAGCCCAAACCGAAAACCGAACCGAACCGAACCG
RNAcentral lists this long non-coding RNA (772 nucleotides) under Aquilegia coerulea. Its description in RNAcentral is "long non-coding RNA (ACOE_LNC000569)". Lineage: Eukaryota; Viridiplantae; Streptophyta; Magnoliopsida; Ranunculales; Ranunculaceae. The record is from RNAcentral.